RNAcentral lists this ribosomal RNA (402 nucleotides) under uncultured bacterium. RNAcentral's name for it is "bacterial SSU rRNA". It matches the Rfam family "Bacterial small subunit ribosomal RNA", at positions 355 to 774 of the family's 1533-position model. The record is from RNAcentral.
UGGGGAAUAUUGGACAAUGGGCGCAAGCCUGAUCCAGCCAUGCCGCGUGAGUGAUGAAGGCCUUAGGGUUGUAAAGCUCUUUUAGCGGGGAAGAUAAUGACGGUACCCGCAGAAAAAGCCCCGGCUAACUUCGUGCCAGCAGCCGCGGUAAUACGAAGGGUGCAAGCGUUACUCGGAAUUACUGGGCGUAAAGCGUGCGUAGGUGGUUGGUUAAGUCUGAUGUGAAAGCCCUGGGCUCAACCUGGGAAUGGCAUUGGAAACUGGGCAGCUAGAGUGCGGUAGAGGGUAGUGGAAUUCCCGGUGUAGCAGUGAAAUGCGUAGAGAUCGGGAGGAACAUCUGUGGCGAAGGCGACUGCCUGGACCAGCACUGACACUGAGGCACGAAAGCGUGGGGAGCAAACA